Molecule: ribosomal RNA, 497 nt
Filed under: uncultured bacterium
Lineage: Bacteria
Description: partial 16S ribosomal RNA
Rfam family: Bacterial small subunit ribosomal RNA
Source: RNAcentral
GAUGAACGCUGGCGGCGUGCCUAAUACAUGCAAGUCGAGCGAACGGACGAGAAGCUUGCUUCUCUGAUGUUAGCGGCGGACGGGUGAGUAACACGUGGAUAACCUACCUAUAAGACUGGGAUAACUUCGGGAAACCGGAGCUAAUACCGGAUAAUAUUUUGAACCGCAUGGUUCAAAAGUGAAAGACGGUCUUGCUGUCACUUAUAGAUGGAUCCGCGCUGCAUUAGCUAGUUGGUAAGGUAACGGCUUACCAAGGCAACGAUGCAUAGCCGACCUGAGAGGGUGAUCGGCCACACUGGAACUGAGACACGGUCCAGACUCCUACGGGAGGCAGCAGUAGGGAAUCUUACGCAAUGGGCGAAAGCCUGACGGAGCAACGCCGCGUGAGUGAUGGAGGUCUUCGGAUCGUAAAACUCUGUUAUUAGGGAAGAACAUAUGUGUAAGUAACUGUGCACAUCUUGACGGUACCUAAUCAGAAAGCCACGGCUAACUACGUG